UGGCAGAAGGUGUGCAGGCACGCCAGCAGCUUGGGCGCGCGCCGGUCCGCGUCGAAGUAGUUGUAGCAGAUUUUGCACUCGUAGUCCUCGAGCGGAGGGAGGCCGGAGACCGUCACCGUGGCGCUCCGGGCUCCCGAGUCCCCGCCGUCCCGAGCUCCCGCCACGGUGCCCCCGGCUCCUGUGGAGCUCCCGGGGCUGCUGGAUGGGCUCCGCUCGCCGGCGUCCCCGCCGCCGCUAUCGCUCGUCGGCGCUGCCAUGGCAGGAUCCGCCCCUCAUCGGGGGCAAGGUUGGACCUCACCCUAUGAAGAGAGAACCCCUCCCCUCGAACCCCCAGCAAGGAACAGGAAGGGGAUGGCUCUCUGGGUUCUCAGGAGGUGGCAAUGUCCCCUCUUUCUCUCUGGAUUCUCAGCAGAAGACAGCAAGAUGCCCCAGGGAAUAUUUGUGGAAAACGACGAAUGAAUGGGGAACAGGCUGAAGGAAAGGAAAGAAAGCUACUGCCAAAGUCUCCUUUGCUGCCUGACAAGCUGAGGAGCCAACACCCCCAGGAGCAGCCCUGCCCCGGUG
This 564-nucleotide long non-coding RNA is filed under the name Equus caballus (horse). RNAcentral's name for it is "lncRNA (ENSECAG00000038863.2)". Lineage: Eukaryota; Metazoa; Chordata; Mammalia; Perissodactyla; Equidae. The record is from RNAcentral.